GGGGCAAUUGUUCAGUGGCUGAGCAUCUGCUUUGCAUGCAAAAGGUUCAAGGUUCAAUCCCUAGCAUCUCCA
This 72-nucleotide transfer RNA is filed under the name Sphaerodactylus townsendi. RNAcentral's name for it is "tRNA-Ala". Lineage: Eukaryota; Metazoa; Chordata; Lepidosauria; Squamata; Sphaerodactylidae. The record is from RNAcentral.